UGGGGAAUUGUUCGCAAUGGGCGCAAGCCUGACGACGCAACGCCGCGUGGAGGAUGAAGACCUUCGGGUCGUAAACUCCUUUCGACCGAGAUGAAUUCUCGCCGACCCAACACGUCGGCGAGGUGACAGUAUCGAGGGAAGCAGCCCCGGCUAACUCCGUGCCAGCAGCCGCGGUAAUACGGGGGGGGCAAGCGUUGUUCGGAAUUACUGGGCGUAAAGGGUUCGUAGGUGGCCCGCUAAGUCACACGUGAAAUCCCUCAGCUUAACUGGGGAACUGCGUGUGAGACUGGCAGGCUUGAGUGCAGGAGAGGAACGCGGAAUUCCAGGUGUAGCGGUGAAAUGCGUAGAUAUCUGGAGGAACACCGGUGGCGAAGGCGGCGUUCUGGACUGUAUCUGACACUGAGGAACGAAAGCCAGGGGAGCAAACGGG
RNAcentral lists this ribosomal RNA (430 nucleotides) under Bacillota bacterium. RNAcentral describes it as "Firmicutes bacterium partial 16S ribosomal RNA". It matches the Rfam family "Bacterial small subunit ribosomal RNA", at positions 355 to 776 of the family's 1533-position model. The record is from RNAcentral. Lineage: Bacteria; Bacillati; Bacillota.